RNAcentral lists this ribosomal RNA (464 nucleotides) under Bos taurus (domestic cattle). Its description in RNAcentral is "partial small subunit ribosomal RNA". It matches the Rfam family "Bacterial small subunit ribosomal RNA", at positions 9 to 818 of the family's 1533-position model. The record is from RNAcentral. Lineage: Eukaryota; Metazoa; Chordata; Mammalia; Artiodactyla; Bovidae.
ACAUAGGUUUGGUCCCAGCCUUCCUGUUAACUCUUAAUAAACUUACACAUGCAAGCAUCUACACCCCAGUGAGAAUGCCCUCUAGGUUAUUAAAACUAAGAGGAGCUGGCAUCAAGCACACACCCUGUAGCUCACGACGCCUUGCUUAACCACACCCCCACGGGAAACAGCAGUGACAAAAAUUAAGCCAUAAACGAAAGUUUGACUAAGUUAUAUUAAUUAGGGUUGGUAAAUCUCGUGCCAGCCACCGCGGUCAUACGAUUAACCCAAGCUAACAGGAGUACGGCGUAAAACGUGUUAAAGCACCAUACCAAAUAGGGUUAAAUUCUAACUAAGCUGUAAAAAGCCAUGAUUAAAAUAAAAAUAAAUGACGAAAGUGACCCUACAAUAGCCGACGCACUAUAGCUAAGACCCAAACUGGGAUUAGAUACCCCACUAUGCUUAGCCCUAAACACAGAUAAUUA